AAUGAAGCGRGAACAGCUCAAAUUUCCAAUCUCCGUCGCCUGCGACGGCGAAUUGUAGUUUCGAGAAGCGCUUUCUAGGCGAUCCGGCGCCGUCCAAGUUGCUUGGAACAGCACGUCGCAAAGGGUGACAACCCCGUUCGCGGCGGACGCCGGACGCUCACGAUGCGUUUUCCACGAGUCGGGUUGUUUGGGAAUGCAGCCCAAAACGGGUGGUAAACUCCAUCUAAAGCUAAAUACUGGCACGAGACCGAUAGCGAACAAGUACCGUGAGGGAAAGAUGAAAAGCACUUUGAAAAGAGAGUUAAAAAGUACGUGAAACCGUUAAAAGGGAAACGAAUGGGGUUAGCAAUGCGCCGCGCGAGAUUCAGACGGCGGACGGGCCGGGCGCGAGGUUCGCGGAUCCGAACGGACCGCGGCCCCGCGUGCUCCGGUCCCGCCGCCUUCGCACUUCUCGCCGGCGCGCGUCAGCGUCGGUUGGGGCUGGGUCUCAAAGGCGCCGGGAAGGUGGGUCCGACCCUUCGGGGACGGAUCGUUAUAGCCCGGCGUUCGCUCAUGGCUCGGCCCCGACCGAGGCGCCCUUCUACGCGGCGCGUGCCUCUUCUGGCUGGGGUCCCGUCGCGCCGGUCGGCGGUCGACUGCGGUGGACUGCAUGCAGUGCAUCGCGACCGCCGUCGGUCGCCGCGGCGGUGACCUCACACCACGCGCCCAGGACGCUGGCGGUCACAUGGCCUCAUCCGACCCGUCUUGAAACACGGACCAAGGAGUCUAACAUGUGCGCGAGUCUUCGAGUGACCGAAACUCGCCGGCGCAAUGAAAGUGAAGGCGGCCCUGGCGCCGCCGAGGUGAGAACCCCGCGUGAUAGCGGGGCGCAUCAUCGACCGACCUGUUCUACUCUUAG
Molecule: ribosomal RNA, 898 nt
Filed under: Anthopleura elegantissima (clonal anemone)
Lineage: Eukaryota; Metazoa; Cnidaria; Anthozoa; Actiniaria; Actiniidae
Description: eukaryotic LSU rRNA
Rfam family: Eukaryotic large subunit ribosomal RNA
Source: RNAcentral